Molecule: long non-coding RNA, 448 nt
Organism: Phacochoerus africanus (Common warthog)
Lineage: Eukaryota; Metazoa; Chordata; Mammalia; Artiodactyla; Suidae
Exons: 2
Source: RefSeq, a predicted model, not a curated record
GCGGAGGUCGGAAGCGCCAGCUCCCCGAACGGAAGCAAAAUUGCCAGGACGUGAGAACCCGCCCCCUUUGCCGGAACUAUCACAUCUUCCAACGGAAAUCUAGUUGCCAAAAGAGGUGGAAAUGCGUCAUUGAAUCCAGCUCACCCAGGGUUGGGAAUGAAGAAGUGAAGACAGUGCUACCCUGAUCAACCGAGGGAAGAAGGAGGGUUCAGGAGGCCAAACCCCGCCCUUGGGGUUCCCCGGAACUCAUGAGGAAGAGCAGGUCUGCUCUUGGGUCUUUCCCAUCAGCCUCUGCCUCCCUGCCCCUCCUCCCUGGCACCCCUCUGGCCCUGUCUCUCUGCGUGGUACACUGGAAGGGCUUUCGGACAUCUAACUCCUAGUUCAGUGUGCGAUCUUGAGACAUUUAUUGCCCCUCUCUGGAACUUAAUAUCUCCAUUUGACAACUUGA